Molecule: small RNA, 149 nt
Filed under: Callithrix jacchus (white-tufted-ear marmoset)
Lineage: Eukaryota; Metazoa; Chordata; Mammalia; Primates; Cebidae
Description: Metazoan signal recognition particle RNA (ENSCJAG00000079399.1)
Source: Rfam by way of RNAcentral
GCUGGGCAUGGUGGCGCGUGCCUGUAAUCCCAGCUACUCAGGAGGCUGAGGCAGGAGAAUUGCUUGAACCCAGGAGGUGGAGGUUGCGGUGAGCCGAGAUUGUGCCAUCGCACUCCAGCCUGGGUAAUAAGAGCGAAACUCUGUCUCAA